GUGGGGAAUAUUGCGCAAUGGGCGAAAGCCUGACGCAGCGACGCCGCGUGAGGGAUGAAGGUCCUCGGAUCGUAAACCUCUGUCAGAAGGGAAGAAGUUGCACUGUGCUAAUCAGCGGUGCAUUGACGGUACCUUCAAAGGAAGCACCGGCUAACUCCGUGCCAGCAGCCGCGGUAAUACGGAGGGUGCGAGCGUUAAUCGGAAUUACUGGGCGUAAAGCGCACGUAGGCUGUAUAUCAAGUCAAGGGUGAAAUCCCCGGGCUCAACCUGGGAACUGCCUUUGAAACUGGUAAACUGGAGUAUGUGAGAGGGUGGCGGAAUUCCUGGUGUAGGAGUGAAAUCCGUAGAUAUCAGGAGGAACAUCAGUGGCGAAGGCGGCCACCUGGCACAAAACUGACGCUGAGGUGCGAAAGCGUGGGUAGCAAACAGGA
This 431-nucleotide ribosomal RNA is filed under the name uncultured bacterium. RNAcentral describes it as "bacterial SSU rRNA". It matches the Rfam family "Bacterial small subunit ribosomal RNA", at positions 354 to 777 of the family's 1533-position model. The record is from RNAcentral.